UAACAUUAAAUUAUUAAUUUUAUUUAUUUUUUUUUUAAUUAUUAAUAAAAAUAAUUUUAUUAUAUUUAGUUAUUGUAUAUUUUAUAAAUUAAAUAUUUUUUAUAAUAGUAAAUUUGUAUAGUAAUAGAUUUUUGAAAUAAAUUUUAUUAUAAAAAAAGUAAAUUUAUUUUAUUGUACCUUUUGUAUCAGGGUUUAUUAAAAAUAUUUUUUAUAAAAAAGAAAUCUCGAAUUUAAAAUAGUUAAAAUUAUAAAAAAUAUAUUGUAGUAAAAAUAUUUUUAAUAUAAUUUUAGUAAUGAAAUGUUAAUCGUUUUUAAAUAUAUCUAGUUUUUUAAGAAAUGAAUUUAAUUCAUAUAUUUUAUAAAAUUUAUUUAUUUUUUAUAAAUAAAUUUAUUUAAAUAUAAAAAUUUAAAGGGAUGAGCUUUUAAAUUUUAUUUUAUAAAUUUAUAUUAAAUUAUUAAAAUUAAUAGGAUUAGAAAUUUUCAAUUUUAAUUAAAAUGUUAUAAUUAAUUUUUUUUUUUUGUAAUAAUUUAUUUUUAUUUUAAAUUUAGUAUUAAAAUAAUAUUUAUAAUAAUUAAUUUAUUUAAUAAUGAUAAAAUUAGUAUUAAUUUAUUUAUAUAAAUAUAAAAUUUAUUUAGAUAAAAAUAAGGAAUUCAGCAAAUAUUACACUCACCUGUUUAUCAAAAACAUGUCUUUUUGAGUAUAAUUUAAAGUCUAACCUGCCCACUGAUUUUUAUUUAAGGGCCGCAGUAUUUUGACUGUGCAAAGGUAGCAUAAUCAUUUGUCUUUUAAUUGAAGGCUGGAAUGAAUGGUUGAAUGAAGUGUAUACUGUCUCAUUUUUAUAAAUUAAUAAUUUAGCUUUUAAAUUAAAAGGUUUAAAUGAAAUUAAAAGACGAGAAGACCCUAUAGAUUUUUAUUUAAUUUAUUUUUAUAAAUUUAAGUAAAAUAUUAUUUUUAAAAAUAAGUUAAAUUUGGUUGGGGUGAUUAAAAAAUUUAAUAAACUUUUUUUAUUUUUAAACAUUUAUUUAUGAAUAAUUGAUCCAAUAAUAUUGAUUAAAAGAUUAAAUUACCUUAGGGAUAACAGCGUAAUUUUUUUAAAGAGUUCUUAUCGAUAAAAAAGAUUGCGACCUCGAUGUUGAAUUAAAGGUUAUUUUAAAAUGUAGCAGUUUUAAGUUUAGGUCUGUUCGACCUUUGAAUCUUUACAUGAUUUGAGUUCAGACCGGUGUAAGCCAGGUCGGUUUCUAUCUUUAAUUAAAUAAAAUAUUUUAGUACGAAAGGACCAAAUAUUAAAAAUAUUUUUUAAAUUAUUGAAUAUUAUUAAUAU
This 1322-nucleotide ribosomal RNA is filed under the name Micromus angulatus. Its description in RNAcentral is "16S ribosomal RNA". The stretch from base 1075 to 1234 matches the Rfam family "Archaeal large subunit ribosomal RNA", at positions 2544 to 2703 of the family's 2987-position model. The record is from RNAcentral. Lineage: Eukaryota; Metazoa; Arthropoda; Insecta; Neuroptera; Hemerobiidae.